RNAcentral lists this microRNA precursor (103 nucleotides) under Marmota monax (woodchuck). The record is from RNAcentral. Lineage: Eukaryota; Metazoa; Chordata; Mammalia; Rodentia; Sciuridae.
AGUGGGAUAGCUGGGUCAAAUGGUGGUUCCAUUCCCAGUUUUCCAAGAAAUAUUCAUACUGCUUUCCAUGUUGGCUGUACCAAUUUGCAGUCCCACCAGCAAU